This 300-nucleotide ribosomal RNA is filed under the name uncultured bacterium. RNAcentral's name for it is "bacterial SSU rRNA". It matches the Rfam family "Bacterial small subunit ribosomal RNA", at positions 30 to 329 of the family's 1533-position model. The record is from RNAcentral.
AUUGAACGCUGGCGGCAUGCCUAACACAUGCAAGUCGAACGGUAACAGGCCCCUUCGGGGUGCUGACGAGUGGCGGAUGGGUGAGUAAUACUUAGGAAUCUACCCUGUAGUGGGGGACGAACCCGGGGAAACUCGGGCUAAUACCGCAUACGCUCUACGGAGGAAAGCGGGGGACCGCAAGGCCUCGCGCUAUUGGAUGAGCCUAAGCCCGAUUAGCUAGUUGGUGGGGUAAUAGCCACCAAGGCAAUGAUCGGUAGCUGGUCUGAGAGGACGACCAGCCACACUGGGACUGAGACACGG